RNAcentral lists this transfer RNA (75 nucleotides) under Puniceicoccales bacterium. RNAcentral describes it as "tRNA-Arg". It matches the Rfam family "tRNA". From Rfam's summary of the family: Transfer RNA (tRNA) molecules are approximately 80 nucleotides in length. Their secondary structure includes four short double-helical elements and three loops (D, anti-codon, and T loops). Further hydrogen bonds mediate the characteristic L-shaped molecular structure. tRNAs have two regions of fundamental functional importance: the anti-codon, which is responsible for specific mRNA codon recognition, and the 3' end, to which the tRNAs corresponding amino acid is attached (by aminoacyl-tRNA synthetases). tRNAs cope with the degeneracy of the genetic code in two manners: having more than one tRNA (with a specific anti-codon) for a particular amino acid; and 'wobble' base-pairing, i.e. permitting non-standard base-pairing at the 3rd anti-codon position. The record is from RNAcentral. Lineage: Bacteria; Pseudomonadati; Verrucomicrobiota; Opitutia; Puniceicoccales.
GCUUUCGUAGUUCAAUGGACAGAACCGCGGUUUCCUAAACCGCUAAUCCCGGUUCGAGUCCGGGCGAAGGCGCCA